CCUCUGAAGGGACUUCCACAGUUGCUGCAGGGAGGAGGGCAUAUCCUGGAGCAUGAGACUGGCUAUGGGGCUCUGUCUUAGCCUGGUUUCUUUCUGUACAAUGAUAUACCACAUAGAAAACUAGUUAAGCAUAAAAUGUUUAUUUGACUUGUGAUUCUAGAAGCCGGGAGCCCCAAGAGCAUGGUGCUGGCAACUGGAAAGGGUCUUCUUGCCUUGUCUUAACAUGGCAGACGGCACAUGGAGAGACCAGAGAGUCAGCACAAGUGUGCUAGCUCAGGUAGGCUCACUGGUGCACACCCCUACUUCCAGCCAUUCAGGAGGCUGAGGCUGAGGCUGAGGAAGUGCUUGGGUCCAGGAGGUCUGGACUAUAGGAUGCUAUGCUGUGAGACAUCUCAUCUUGCCUAGGGAAGGAGCAAACCAGCAGAGUUCAUUACAGCCACGUUUGUGGACUCUGCUCUCUCAUCUCUCCCUCCCAGUUUGGCUUCCUACCUCUGUCUUCGCGGCUUCCAGCUCUUUAGGAUGUGUGAAGACUCAGACACCAUCAGCACUGAAGUAGACAUCGGUAGAUCCCCGUGCCUAGCUCAGCUUCAGGACAAGGCGAGAGAUGCGAUGUUUCCCUUGCCAUUGGAAAAGACAAUUCCAAAUUAGUCUCCUUGUCAAGCCCUUUACUCACUGACCUCUCCUCACAACAACAACAACAACAACAACAAAGGCAUUCAAUCAGAGAGCUGGGCUUCCAACCAAGCCUGUGAAGAAUCUUCCCCUUGCUUCCCCCUUUGCGUCUCUCAGAAACCUUUGGGCCACCACAGGAAGGACAUAAAAUGACUUCAUCUCACCAUUUCCAAAUGCCUCUCCUGAGUUAUGGCUUUGUCAGUACAAUCAUUUGUC
Mus musculus (house mouse) is the source of this 888-nucleotide long non-coding RNA. RefSeq annotates it as predicted gene, 33115. NCBI's taxonomy places the organism in Eukaryota, Metazoa, Chordata, Mammalia, Rodentia, Muridae. The transcript is spliced from 4 exons. The record is from RefSeq and is a predicted model, not a curated record.